GUCCGCGAAAGCCUUGCUGUACUGCGCGCCAUAGCGAUGUGCGCAUCGUCAUGCGCGUUGAGGUGUUGAGUGGAAACCCGGUGAGACCGAUCCAUUUUUGCUUUAUGUUGAGGUUAUUUGUCUUACGACAUUUUUAAACUUGAGGCAGUUUCAGUCUCGUUGUUUAGUGGUAGUGCUCAUUAAUUGGUGGAAUCGUAGAUAAUCAGAAUCAGAAACCGUGAACUUAGGUUUGAUCCCAGAGUUGAAAAUUAUUAGUUACCUGAUCUCAUCAAUAUCCUAAAGUUAGAAUAUUUCAGUUUUUGCGUCAUUUGAUUGAAUUGUGCAUCAGACUAAAGAUUUUGGUAAGGUGUUACGUUCACCUACUCUGUAAUUUCGUUGCGCUAAGUUGUACCAAUGAUGGAGACCGGGGUGACUUGGAAAAGACCCGUUGGCCUGUGUAAUGGCAUCGGGAUGACCAAGAAGAGACCUGUGUAAAGUCUGCGGUACUGUUUUUAUUGUGUUAAGCUGUAACUAUGAUGGGUAUCGGGGUGACCUGGAAGAGACUCGUUGGCCUGUGUGACGGCAUCGGGGUGACCAGGAAGAGACCCGUAUACAUCUGUGGUACAGUUGGUGUCAUGUCACUGUGGUUGUGGUUGUGGUCCCUAGGAGGCCAGGAUGGGCUGAGAGCUCGGCUAAGGGACACGACGGUUAUGUGAAGCCUAUCAAGUAGGCGUUGAUGUGAAUGACCUAAUAGCUGUAAUGAUUUUGUAAUUUACCAGUUGAGUCUGACUAGCAAUUCGACCUUUCUUUGAUUUCGUGCUUAGAAUUUAACGUAACUAGUUUCUUCAUUUAAAUGGUGAUUGCUAUUCUUAAAACCCAUAACAUGUGUGUAGGUCUUACUAUCCUACGUAACGAGAAGGUUUGUUGUUGACCCAUAUGUUGUCAAUAUUUAUCGGAUGCCUAAGCACUUUCCAUUUCUGACUUAACAGAUAACAUCUAAGGUGAACCGAGCCUGGAGAACAGGACGAGGUUUACUAGUCAAGCGGCGGGCAAGGUGCACUGCAGUUGCUGUUUGCAGCGUCGUCCUCCCCCGGAUUUUUCGUGGAGGCCGUAUGAGUUGCGGCAGGCCAGAACAUCGCGUCUUAUCGCACAAAAGUUGUACACGAGAAUAUGUUACGGCAAGGCGGCUGUGUCGUAAGCAAGCGCUGCUGGUUGCAGCACGAGCGCUGCUGAGCCGGUGCUGCUGGUUGCGGCACGAGCGCUGCUGAGCCGGUGCUGCUGGUUGCGGCACGAGCGCUGCUGAGCCGGUGUUCUCCUCGAAGAAUUGUUGCUCUGGGGCAAUGUUGCCUUUUGGGCCUUUUGUCGGUGUGGUGUACCUAUUUGGGUCACCCACGGCCUCUUGACCCUGUGGGUCCUCUUGUCGGUGUGGUGUACCUAGUUGGUGCACCCACGGCCUCUUGACCCUGUGGGUCCUCUUGUCGGUGUGGUGUACCUAGUUGGUGCACCCACGGCCUCUUGACCCUGUGGGUCCUCUUGUCGGUGUGGUGUACCUAUCUGGUGCACCCACGGCCUCUGGAAGCUGGUCGGCUUUGCAAACCGACCAGUCGCUAUGGGACGUGCGCUCAUAGUGUUCUGUAUUAAGCAUGGUAGUCAGUUACUUUAGUAAUUAAAUUGUUUGAACGUCUUUGUUUAAGUUGACUGGAGCUGUUUAUUGAAAAUUUACUAAGUUACUAGCUUUGAAGUUCAAACCUUAUAAUUUAUUAGUUACUUUAACAUUGAUCUGCAUGAGGAUGGCAUGUGUUGCUGUAGGUACAUAUUUGUCACCCGCAGAUAAUGACGGUGAUGAUGAAGAUAUUACGAUUGAAGUCCAGCCAGCCCAGCCACGGCCGGUGCCUGCAUCAGAACCAGCACCGGGGCCCUCGUCAAGACCCGACCAUCCGGAGCUAGAAUCUCCCCGAGGACUUCACACGCCCGACCUAAAUUGAAGCCACAUUACCUGCCGAGGACGUCAGGAUGUCAGGAGAGGCCGUAUUAGAUAUUUGAUAAGUUAGGAGGAGGGUAGGACGAUAAGUUGCUAUAUAAGCAGCCGAGUACCGGUGCCUCGCCCAUUCGUUCAUCGUCCGCCGUGCGUGUAAGACGUAUUUUGAGGUUAUUUACCUAUAGAAAGAUUGUUAUUUUGUUAAGAGUUAGUGCGUGAUUCAUAUUUAUUGUUGUAAAUGGUGAUUUAUUUUAACAAUUGGUUUAAAAAAUUGUAAUGUUAGUUUUUAGGUUAUAAAGUUGUACCAUUUUUUUAUUAAAUCCGCUUCUGAUUGCUAAAAA
Molecule: long non-coding RNA, 2298 nt
Filed under: Helicoverpa zea (corn earworm)
Lineage: Eukaryota; Metazoa; Arthropoda; Insecta; Lepidoptera; Noctuidae
Description: uncharacterized LOC124643028
Source: RNAcentral